UUUAGCAUUGGCUUUGCGGGCCAUAAUGCCAUUACCGACUGCAUGCAGAAGGUGAGUUUUACCUAAGCCCGUACCACCAUA
This 81-nucleotide antisense RNA is filed under the name Hafnia paralvei. RNAcentral's name for it is "antisense RNA of dnaA mRNA". It matches the Rfam family "antisense RNA of dnaA mRNA". Lineage: Bacteria; Pseudomonadati; Pseudomonadota; Gammaproteobacteria; Enterobacterales; Hafniaceae. The record is from RNAcentral.